RNAcentral lists this ribosomal RNA (492 nucleotides) under uncultured bacterium. RNAcentral's name for it is "partial 16S ribosomal RNA". It matches the Rfam family "Bacterial small subunit ribosomal RNA", at positions 29 to 507 of the family's 1533-position model. The record is from RNAcentral.
AGUGAACGCUGGCGGUAGGCCUAACACAUGCAAGUCGAACGGCAGCACAGUAAGAGCUUGCUCUUACGGGUGGCGAGUGGCGGACGGGUGAGGAGUACAUCGGAAUCUACUUUUUCGUGGGGGAUAACGUAGGGGAACUUACGCUAAUACCGCAUACGACCUACGGGUGAGAGCAGGGGAUCUUCGGACCUUGCGCGAUUGAAUGAGCCGAUGUCGGGUUAGCUAGUUGGCGGGGGAAAGGCCCACCAAGGCGGCGAUCCGUAGCUGGUCUGAGAGGAUGGUCCGCCACCCUGGAACUUGGCCACCGUCCAUACUCCUACGGGAGGCCGCAGUCGGGAAUAUUGGGCAAUGGGGGCAAGCCUUGCCCAACCAUCCCGCGUGGGUUGAAGAGGCCUUCCGGUUGUAAAGCCCUUUUUUUGGGAAAAAAAAGCAGCCGGUUUAAACCCCGCUGUUCUGACGGUACCCAAAAAAUAAGCACCGGCUAACUUCGUG